Molecule: ribosomal RNA, 2610 nt
Filed under: Escherichia coli
Lineage: Bacteria; Pseudomonadati; Pseudomonadota; Gammaproteobacteria; Enterobacterales; Enterobacteriaceae
Description: partial 23S ribosomal RNA
Rfam family: Bacterial large subunit ribosomal RNA
Source: RNAcentral
GUGGAAGCGUCUGGAAAGGCGCGCGAUACAGGGUGACAGCCCCGUACACAAAAAUGCACAUAUUGUGAGCUCGAUGAGUAGGGCGGGACACGUGGUAUCCUGUCUGAAUAUGGGGGGACCAUCCUCCAAGGCUAAAUACUCCUGACUGACCGAUAGUGAACCAGUACCGUGAGGGAAAGGCGAAAAGAACCCCGGCGAGGGGAGUGAAAAAGAACCUGAAACCGUGUACGUACAAGCAGUGGGAGCCUCUUUAUGGGGUGACUGCGUACCUUUUGUAUAAUGGGUCAGCGACUUAUAUUCUGUAGCAAGGUUAACCGAAUAGGGGAGCCGAAGGGAAACCGAGUCUUAACUGGGCGUUAAGUUGCAGGGUAUAGACCCGAAACCCGGUGAUCUAGCCAUGGGCAGGUUGAAGGUUGGGUAACACUAACUGGAGGACCGAACCGACUAAUGUUGAAAAAUUAGCGGAUGACUUGUGGCUGGGGGUGAAAGGCCAAUCAAACCGGGAGAUAGCUGGUUCUCCCCGAAAGCUAUUUAGGUAGCGCCUCGUGAAUUCAUCUCCGGGGGUAGAGCACUGUUUCGGCAAGGGGGUCAUCCCGACUUACCAACCCGAUGCAAACUGCGAAUACCGGAGAAUGUUAUCACGGGAGACACACGGCGGGUGCUAACGUCCGUCGUGAAGAGGGAAACAACCCAGACCGCCAGCUAAGGUCCCAAAGUCAUGGUUAAGUGGGAAACGAUGUGGGAAGGCCCAGACAGCCAGGAUGUUGGCUUAGAAGCAGCCAUCAUUUAAAGAAAGCGUAAUAGCUCACUGGUCGAGUCGGCCUGCGCGGAAGAUGUAACGGGGCUAAACCAUGCACCGAAGCUGCGGCAGCGACACUAUGUGUUGUUGGGUAGGGGAGCGUUCUGUAAGCCUGUGAAGGUGGCCUGUGAGGGUUGCUGGAGGUAUCAGAAGUGCGAAUGCUGACAUAAGUAACGAUAAAGCGGGUGAAAAGCCCGCUCGCCGGAAGACCAAGGGUUCCUGUCCAACGUUAAUCGGGGCAGGGUGAGUCGACCCCUAAGGCGAGGCCGAAAGGCGUAGUCGAUGGGAAACAGGUUAAUAUUCCUGUACUUGGUGUUACUGCGAAGGGGGGACGGAGAAGGCUAUGUUGGCCGGGCGACGGUUGUCCCGGUUUAAGCGUGUAGGCUGGUUUUCCAGGCAAAUCCGGAAAACCAAGGCUGAGGCGUGAUGACGAGGCACUACGGUGCUGAAGCGACAAAUGCCCUGCUUCCAGGAAAAGCCUCUAAGCAUCAGGUAACAUCAAAUCGUACCCCAAACCGACACAGGUGGUCAGGUAGAGAAUACCAAGGCGCUUGAGAGAACUCGGGUGAAGGAACUAGGCAAAAUGGUGCCGUAACUUCGGGAGAAGGCACGCUGAUAUGUAGGUGAAGCGACUUGCUCGUGGAGCUGAAAUCAGUCGAAGAUACCAGCUGGCUGCAACUGUUUAUUAAAAACACAGCACUGUGCAAACACGAAAGUGGACGUAUACGGUGUGACGCCUGCCCGGUGCCGGAAGGUUAAUUGAUGGGGUUAGCGGUAACGCGAAGCUCUUGAUCGAAGCCCCGGUAAACGGCGGCCGUAACUAUAACGGUCCUAAGGUAGCGAAAUUCCUUGUCGGGUAAGUUCCGACCUGCACGAAUGGCGUAAUGAUGGCCAGGCUGUCUCCACCCGAGACUCAGUGAAAUUGAACUCGCUGUGAAGAUGCAGUGUACCCGCGGCAAGACGGAAAGACCCCGUGAACCUUUACUAUAGCUUGACACUGAACAUUGAGCCUUGAUGUGUAGGAUAGGUGGGAGGCUUUGAAGUGUGGACGCCAGUCUGCAUGGAGCCGACCUUGAAAUACCACCCUUUAAUGUUUGAUGUUCUAACGUUGGCCCGUAAUCCGGGUUGCGGACAGUGUCUGGUGGGUAGUUUGACUGGGGCGGUCUCCUCCUAAAGAGUAACGGAGGAGCACGAAGGUUGGCUAAUCCUGGUCGGACAUCAGGAGGUUAGUGCAAUGGCAUAAGCCAGCUUGACUGCGAGCGUGACGGCGCGAGCAGGUGCGAAAGCAGGUCAUAGUGAUCCGGUGGUUCUGAAUGGAAGGGCCAUCGCUCAACGGAUAAAAGGUACUCCGGGGAUAACAGGCUGAUACCGCCCAAGAGUUCAUAUCGACGGCGGUGUUUGGCACCUCGAUGUCGGCUCAUCACAUCCUGGGGCUGAAGUAGGUCCCAAGGGUAUGGCUGUUCGCCAUUUAAAGUGGUACGCGAGCUGGGUUUAGAACGUCGUGAGACAGUUCGGUCCCUAUCUGCCGUGGGCGCUGGAGAACUGAGGGGGGCUGCUCCUAGUACGAGAGGACCGGAGUGGACGCAUCACUGGUGUUCGGGUUGUCAUGCCAAUGGCACUGCCCGGUAGCUAAAUGCGGAAGAGAUAAGUGCUGAAAGCAUCUAAGCACGAAACUUGCCCCGAGAUGAGUUCUCCCUGACUCCUUGAGAGUCCUGAAGGAACGUUGAAGACGACGACGUUGAUAGGCCGGGUGUGUAAGCGCAGCGAUGCGUUGAGCUAACCGGUACUAAUGAACCGUGAGGCUUAACCUU